GUAGUGGAAGUCCAUUUUUCAAGGGUGGAAGUGCUAUUGAAACUGUAUGGCUUGAGUGCGGGAGAGGUUAUCGGAAUUCCCGGUGUAGCGGUGAAAUGCGUAGAGAUCGGGAGGAACACCAGUGGCGAAGGCGGGUAACUGGACCGCAACUGACGCUGAGGCGCGAAAGUGUGGGGAGCAAACAGGAUUAGAUACCCUGGUAGUCCACACGGUAAACGAUGAAUGCUAGGUGUAGGGGGUAUCGACCCCUUCUGUGCCGCAGUAAACACAGUAAGCAUUCCGCCUGGGGAGUACGGUCGCAAGAUUAAAACUCAAAGGAAUUGACGGGGGCCCGCACAAGCAGCGGAGCAUGUGGUUUAAUUCGAAGCAACGCGAAGAACCUUACCAGGUCUUGACAUCCAGGUAAAGCCGCAGAGAUGCGGUGUGUGCUUGCACAAUCUGAGACAGGUGGUGCAUGGUUGUCGUCAGCUCGUGUCGUGAGAUGUUGGGUUAAGUCCCGCAACGAGCGCAACCCUUGCCGAUAGUUACUAACGGGUGGAGCCGAGGACUUUAUCGGGACCGCCGGGGACAACUCGGAGGAAGGUGGGGACGACGUCAAAUCAUCAUGCCCCUUAUGACCUGGGCUACACACGUGCUACAAUGGCCGACACAGAGAGGAGCGAACCCGCAAGGGGGAGCGGAUCUCAAAAAAGCGGUCUCAGUUCAGAUUGUGGGCUGCAACCCGCCCACAUGAAGCAGGAGUUGCUAGUAAUCGCGAAUCAGCAUGUCGCGGUGAAUACGUUCCCGGGCCUUGUACACACCGCCCGUCACACCAUGGGAGUUGGUAGCACCCGAAGGCAGAGAGGUAACCGCAAGGAGCCAUCUGACGAAGGUGAGAUCAAUGACUGGGGUGAAGUCGUAACAAGGUAACCAAGGGCGAUCCA
This 923-nucleotide ribosomal RNA is filed under the name uncultured Eubacteriales bacterium. RNAcentral's name for it is "bacterial SSU rRNA". It matches the Rfam family "Bacterial small subunit ribosomal RNA", at positions 591 to 1513 of the family's 1533-position model. Lineage: Bacteria; Bacillati; Bacillota; Clostridia; Eubacteriales. The record is from RNAcentral.